Molecule: long non-coding RNA, 534 nt
Filed under: Homo sapiens (human)
Lineage: Eukaryota; Metazoa; Chordata; Mammalia; Primates; Hominidae
Description: HSALNT0398095
Source: RNAcentral
GCUUGUUUUGAAGACUCUGAUGUUCAUCGCAGCUCAUGGAGUACACACACACAGACACAGACACACACAAAGGAGACAGAAGGGAUGUUUUGGUGACAGAAACAGCUUGACCAUGAGGACCCUCCUCUUUCUCCCUCCAUGAAGGCCCUUAUACUGCAUAGUGCUUGGGGCUGAUAAAGCCAUUUCCCUACAUUUCUCAGGCUGGACCCAAGGUCAUCCACCAGAAAUUUGGAAAACAAAGGGAAGAGAAUCUGUAGAUAUGAAUUGGGAGUGUUCAGGAGAAAAAUUUGGGAUUUACUUUUGUGCAUGGGACACAGGCUGAGAAUAAGAAUGUUUUCCUGGCUCUUUCUUGGAAAGCCAGAUAGGCUUCACCUGAAAGCAUAUUGCCAAUGCUCCAGCGAUCCACUUACCAGGGACUGUGAUUUUCUUGGUUGUGAAGUUUUUGCCAUUAGUGACUGGGUUAUGGACAUAACACAGAUAGUCCCCACUAUUCUCUGUAGUGACUUGGGGGAUAAAGAGCUCUUGUCCUGUUUG